AGUGUGUGUGUGUGUGUGUGUGGGUGUUUUAAAGUAUUAAAUGCUAAUAAAAUAAAUAUCCUACAAAUGUACCCCAACUCGUUAUUGAAAAUCGCAUUCACUCGCAUUGGCUGAGCAUAUGAUUGCUGCCGAAACAUGGCAUUUUAACAUUUGACAAAAGUAAA
Glossina fuscipes is the source of this 164-nucleotide long non-coding RNA. RefSeq lists it as uncharacterized. The record is from RefSeq and is a predicted model, not a curated record. The transcript is spliced from 3 exons. Lineage: Eukaryota; Metazoa; Arthropoda; Insecta; Diptera; Glossinidae.